GGUCUGAUCGUAUAACGGUUAGUACACAAGAUUCUGACUCUGUCGCGUCGUUCUUGUAAUCUGGGUUCGAUUCCCAGUCGGACCU
Molecule: transfer RNA, 85 nt
Organism: Trichosporon asahii var. asahii CBS 8904
Lineage: Eukaryota; Fungi; Basidiomycota; Tremellomycetes; Trichosporonales; Trichosporonaceae
Rfam family: tRNA
About the family: Transfer RNA (tRNA) molecules are approximately 80 nucleotides in length. Their secondary structure includes four short double-helical elements and three loops (D, anti-codon, and T loops).
Source: Rfam